This 468-nucleotide ribosomal RNA is filed under the name uncultured bacterium. RNAcentral's name for it is "partial 16S ribosomal RNA". It matches the Rfam family "Bacterial small subunit ribosomal RNA", at positions 28 to 507 of the family's 1533-position model. The record is from RNAcentral.
GAUGAACGCUGGCGGCGUGCUUAACACAUGCAAGUCGAACGGUGAAGGCGGAGCUUGCUCUGCUGGAUCAGUGGCGAACGGGUGAGUAACACGUGAGUAAUCUGCCCCUGACUCUGGGAUAAGCGCUGGAAACGGCGUCUAAUACUGGAUACGAGCUGCGAAGGCAUGUUCAGCAGCUGGAAGGAUCGUCGGUCGGGGAUGAGCUCGCGGCCUAUCAGCUUGUUGGUGGGGUAGUGGCUCACCAAGGCGUCGACGGGUAGCCGGCCUGAGAGGGUGACCGGCCACACUGGGACUGAGACACGGCCCAGACUCCUACGGGAGGCAGCAGUGGGGAAUAUUGCACAAUGGGCGGAAGCCUGAUGCAGCAACGCCGCGUGCGGGAUGACGGCCUUCGGGUUGUAAACCGCUUUUGGCUGUGAAGAAGCGAGAGUGACGGUAAUGGGUAAAAAAGCACCGGCUAACUACGUG